This 459-nucleotide ribosomal RNA is filed under the name uncultured bacterium. Its description in RNAcentral is "bacterial SSU rRNA". It matches the Rfam family "Bacterial small subunit ribosomal RNA", at positions 349 to 793 of the family's 1533-position model. The record is from RNAcentral.
CAGCAGUGGGGGGAAUAUUGGACAAUGGGGGGGAACCCGUGAUCCAGCCAUGCCGCGUGUGUGAAGAAGGCCUUAUGGUUGUUAAAGCACUUUAAGCGAGGAGGAGGCUACUGAGACUAAUACUCUUGGAUAGUGGACGUUACUCGCAGAUAAGCACCGGCUAACUCUGUGCCAGCAGCCGCGGUAAUACAGAGGGGUGCGAGCGUUAAUCGGAUUUACUGGGCGUAAAGCGUGCGUAGGCGGCUUUUUAAGUCGGAUGUGAAAUCCCCGAGCUUAACUUGGGAAUUGCAUUCGAUACUGGGAAGCUAGAGUAUGGGAGAGGAUGGUAGAAUUCCAGGUGUAGCGGUGAAAUGCGUAGAGAUCUGGAGGAAUACCGAUGGCGAAGGCAGCCAUCUGGCCUAAUACUGACGCUGAGGUACGAAAGCAUGGGGAGCAAACAGGAUUAGAUACCCCUGGUAG